Molecule: ribosomal RNA, 301 nt
Filed under: uncultured bacterium
Lineage: Bacteria
Description: partial 16S ribosomal RNA
Rfam family: Bacterial small subunit ribosomal RNA
Source: RNAcentral
CAGCCGCCGCGGUAAUACGGAGGGUGCAAGCGUUAAUCGGAAUCACUGGGCGUAAAGCGCACGCAGGCGGUCUGACAAGUCAGAUGUGAAAUCCCCGGGCUUAACCUGGGAACUGCAUUUGAAACUGUCAGGCUGGAGUCUUGUAGAGGGGGGUGGAAUUCCAGGUGUAGCGGUGAAAUGCGUAGAGAUCUGGAGGAAUACCGGUGGCGAAGGCGGCCCCCUGGACAAAGACUGACGCUCAGGUGCGAAAGCGUGGGGAGCAAACAGGAUUAGAUACCCCGGUAGUCCCUGUCUCUUAUAC